GACAGAGGCCUCAAGCGUUAGGCGGAAUCACUGGGCUUAAAGCGUGUGUAGGCGGAUCGUUAAGUGUCUUGUGAAAUCCCACGGCUCACCCGUGGAACUGCUGGGCAUACUGGCGAUCUUGGGCCAACUAGGGGCAGCCGGAACAAGCGGUGGAGCGGUGAAAUGCGUAGAUAUCGCUUGGAACGCCGAAGGUGAAAACAGGCUGCUGGGGUUGUG
This 216-nucleotide ribosomal RNA is filed under the name uncultured bacterium. RNAcentral describes it as "partial 16S ribosomal RNA". It matches the Rfam family "Bacterial small subunit ribosomal RNA", at positions 524 to 739 of the family's 1533-position model. The record is from RNAcentral.